This 610-nucleotide ribosomal RNA is filed under the name Nephroma parile. RNAcentral describes it as "eukaryotic LSU rRNA". The stretch from base 254 to 408 matches the Rfam family "5.8S ribosomal RNA". The record is from RNAcentral. Lineage: Eukaryota; Fungi; Ascomycota; Lecanoromycetes; Peltigerales; Nephromataceae.
GGAAGUAAAAGUCGUAACAAGGUUUCCGUAGGUGAACCUGCGGAAGGAUCAUUAAUGAAGUCCCAAGGGGGUCGCCAGACACCCCCGGAGGCGUGGUGGUCAAGUAUUCUUAGGGUAGCUCCGGGACUACCCCACCCGUCUUAUUCUACACCCAAUGUCUACCUAAAUGUUAAGCCUGCUUUGGCGGCUUUACCCGUCAAGGGCACCUAAAACUCGAUAUAUCGAUGCUGUCGGAGUUAUACACAAUAACUAAAACUUUCAACAACGGAUCUCUCGGUUCUGGCAUCGAUGAAGAACGCAGCGAAAUGCGAUAAGUAAUGUGAAUUGCAGAAUUCAGUGAAUCAUCGAAUCUUUGAACGCACAUUGCGCCUUUUGGAAAUUCCGGAAGGCAUGCCUGUUCGAGCGUCAUUUAAACCCUUCAAGUUAGGCUUGAUGUUGGGCGUCGUCCCCUGGACGUGCUUCAAAUCCAGUGACGGUCCAGGUGAUUUUGAGCGCACUGAAUCCAUUUUCGCUUUGAAAAUCAUCUGGCAUCGGCUUUUUACCCAUAAGAUUGACCUCGGAUCAGGUAGGGAUACCCGCUGAACUUAAGCAUAUCAAUAAGCGGAGGAAA